This 369-nucleotide long non-coding RNA is filed under the name Carica papaya (papaya). RNAcentral describes it as "long non-coding RNA (CPAP_LNC011185)". The record is from RNAcentral. Lineage: Eukaryota; Viridiplantae; Streptophyta; Magnoliopsida; Brassicales; Caricaceae.
UUUUUGCCGCUCUAAGUAUAAGCAUGUGAAUAUGUAUAGGCAAAAAAUAUUUCUAGUAACUGGGCUCAAGCUGUGUCUCAGUUCAUUCAUUCUAAAUCAUUUUUCCAAAAUUGCAGUCUCCAAUAGGGCAUGGGAUGGGAAAACCCAAGCUUAUUCAAAGAGCUGAGGUGAAGCUCUUUGUCUAUCAAGUAUAAGCAUGUAAAUGCAUAUAUGCAAAAGAAAUUUCUGGUAAUUGGGCUCAAGUUGUGUCUCAAUUCGUUCAUUCUGUAGCACAUUUCCAAAAAUUGCAUCCUCCAACAAGGCAUGACAUGAGAAAGCCGAAACUUAUUCAAAGACCUAAUGUUAAACUCUAUAUACUCUCAAGUAUAA